Non-coding RNA from Xyrichtys novacula (pearly razorfish), 8735 nucleotides. Lineage: Eukaryota; Metazoa; Chordata; Actinopteri; Labriformes; Labridae. The record is from the annotation of a GenBank genome assembly.
GGAGGCUAAAUCACACAGGCAUGCACACACACAGUUUAGUAGUUGAAUUACUCUCUGUCGGCUUGUCGCCCAGCCGGGGUUUCAGACUCAGUAAAAUAAGGAAUGGAGCUUCCUUUCCUUACCUCAGAGCCUCGCUGCCACUCCAGCACAGUAAUUACCUCGUCCUUCUUUACUGCUAAUGAGAAGGUAAAAUAUGAGCUUCUGGCAACUGCAGUCAUUUGCGACCCUGGCUCGCUCCUGGCAGGAGUGGAGAGGGAGAAGGAGAGAGACUAAUUUCUACCCAGAAGCCACCUCUGAAUGGUGCCAUCCAUCCUUAACCCACCUGUACAAGUUAUCCAGGGUUACCCCAGGUCUGUGUCUGGAUAAUGUUACACUGAGUUGGAUGAGCAGUUUGCUGGAGUGAGCACUUUCUUGGGUAAAUGAAAACAGUCAGACUCUUGAUACUUCCCGACAAACUAUAGCCUCUUAGAAAAGAUCAUAGAGUGGGUGUUCUGGGUUAGGUUUUCAUUACUGUAGUACUGUGAUAUAGAAAGUACUAGUGUUACAUCAAUCACUGCCUUUUGAACCUGUCUGCUAAGGCUUGCAGUUUGGUGUCAUGGUGUUUGGGACUGGUGAUUCGUUUUAGACACUGUACACUCUAAAAACUCUUGGGUUAUUUCUUCAACCCAAUUCCUGGGUUAUAUGUGUUGAGUUAAAUUUCUUGGUUAUUUUUCAGAUCCAUACCCAUUUCGCGGGUCAUAUGGAUUCUAUCGUAACCCAAUUUGAGCGUUUUUUAAAUGGGUUAAUAAUUAUGGGUUAUUUUUCUGAAAGUAACCCAAUGAUUGGGUCAGAACGCUGGGUUCAAUGGACUCUACGUGGUUCCUAGGCCUAAUGGCAAUUAAAGUGACCUUGUGAAAUUUGACCUUGAUUUGGGGUUGGAAUCCCUCAUGAGACACAUCUGUAAGGAGCAAACUACAUCCACCAGUUUGGGUCCUUAGGUAAGACCCUUAACGCUAUGGCCUACAACCAGAUAGAUAAAAGUACAUGGGAAAAUAUGGUACAGGUUGUAAAAGCUAAGCUCCCCAAAUGCAUCUAUCAAUCUAUCCCAAGAUCAUGAGUCAAAUUAACUUAAACAUUUAAACAUUGGGUUAACUUGACUCUUAAAAAGGGUUAUUGAGUCAACCCAAAAUUUGGGUUAAUUUGAUUAACCCAACAUUCUGGGUCAAAAUAACCCAACAAGUAGUUGGUCCUUUUUCAACCCUGGUGUUAACCCAGGGGUUUUUAGAGUGUAACAUCAACUAUAAGCUUUUGAACCCACUUAAGAGUUUUUGAGUGUUGAUGGUGAUCACUUUGAGGUCAACCUUAAGUUUUUUUAAACCCUCCUCUCAAGAUAAGACAUUGGUUUUUUGGUGUUUUGUUGAUAGAGAUUGAGUUGUCAACAUUUUGCUUUUGAACCCUUAAAGCGUCUUUGGUGGUAUUUUGGGUGGUACUGUGGUAGAAGUCAGUUUUGCAUCAACCAGCUGUUAAACUGACCUGGAGUUUGGUAACUUAGACUCAACGUCUUUAGUCUGGUGGUAGCUAUCUCAAGGUCAAAUCUGAGCCUUUGAACUUUCUUCUUAAAACCUGGAGUAAAUGAGUUUAAUUUUGGUGAUUUAAGUUAGCUUUUGAACGCCCCAUUUGAAGUCUGUAGUUGGUGGUUUUUGAGAUGCUCCUAAAGUUUGCAUCAUUAGCUUUUAAAUGUGUUCAGGAGCUUGAUACUGGUUGGUUUUGGUGGUGUGUUUCAUUCGCUUCCUCCUCCUCUGCUUUUAAACCCAUCUUUUUUUGGGGGGUGAAAGCAACUCUAGCUUUGUUCUGGACUUUUGAGCCUCCCUUUUUGAAGCUUUAAGUUCGGCAUUGUUGCAUUUCAGAGGUAUUUUGGCGGUAACUUGUCAACGGCCAAUUAUUCACUUUUUAAACUUCCUGUUUCAAAGCUUGGUGUGCGUUCUUUUGGUGUUGUUACAGUGGUAGCAGCAUUGAUCUGAACCCUUUAAUUAUAGCUGUAUGACUGGCUUUUUUGGCAUCAACCAUUAGCUUUUGAAUCUCAUAUUUAAAGCUCAGUGUUUGGUAGUUCUGUGGUUGUGUUUAGAACCAUAGUUGGCCAUUUCUGAUCCCUGAUUAUUGUUUUAUUUCAGAUUACAGGCCACCCGAGUUCCAAUUUGCUAAUUAAAACUGUAUACAAACACCAAGCUUGUUAUUUUACUGUAAAUUGUACCAUUUAUUACAAAGUGACAAUAAUCCUGCUUUGUCAGAACAAAUCUUGAUUGAUUUUUUUCAAUAGUUGGGAAAUUAGAACCAUUUUCUGGUCUGGUUUAGACAAUUUUGUCUUCCUUUCUGCUGGCUGUUAUAAAUAAUGCAGAUUUGAAGCACUUGUGUGUGGUCCUCAGUUUGAAAAACAGAGGUGAUAUGCUGAGUUAUGAUUUCAAAGUGAACUUUAACUCUUCUUUAGUGACUCACAACAUUAGGAUCCCUCUCAUGACCUUCUUCUGUGAUCUUUCCUUCACUUCCAUGCCCACAUGCUAACACAAAAAAGUCAGACUCUUUUAAGGGUGUAAUAAAACUCAGCGUGAUUUAAGAGCUAUGCUAGAUGACCCCAAUGUGUGAAUUUGACAGAAAUGUGAUCUCUCAAAGGCACCUUUCACCUCCUAUCAGCAACAAAACAUGAACAUUCAAACACCAUCAAAAUGAAAUGCACGCUUUAUGGGCCUGUAAGACUCUUUAUUCACCAGGCGAUCUAUAUUUCCAUGUCAUCGCCGCUCUCCUCUAUUCCAUUAUCAUUUUUUAUCUGAUAGGAAACAAAUCAAGGGUUUCCCAGUGUCAGGAACAAAAGCCAUUUUUGUGUUGAAGGUUAUAGAAAAGCAUCGUCACGUAAGGGAAAUGAUUAUAUUGGUGCCCUUCGGAUAGACUCCAAUGUCACACAUGAGGAGACAAAGAAUUUCAUCACACAGGCUGAGCUUUUUUGCUUUUUUUUUUUGACAGCAAUCAGAUCCAUUUUAUUCUCUUUGUGGGGCUUCGUAUUUGCUAUAAAAUCUUAGAGAUUGACUCCAAAACCUUACCACAGGGGUGAAAAAAUCCUAUUAGAUUGAAAACAGCAAGAGACGUAAAAAAAAAAAGAGAAAAAAAUCGUAUUAGCAAUAAUAACAGAUUGCAGAAUUCACUGCGUCUGGGAUGACUAUUUUAGUGAAAAUGAUACAGCCAGGGUAUGAGAAAUUAAACCCAUUUCAGAGGGUGGUGUCAAUGCUGAUGUUUACUGGUUUUACAGACACUUCCAUUAGAAAACCAUUAGCAAGGCGAUUACUAUGAUUAACUCAAAAUUGACCCACUGCGUCCAUUCACUAAUCCCACUGACCAUAAUGCAAUGCAGUUACCAUAUGACUCGUUUCGGAGCAUUUAAGUGGAUGAACUUUGCACCCCGGUCCUGCUGGAGUUAUCGGGGGGGAUUAACUGGGGUUAGAAACCAAAGAUUGGAAGAUGUACCAUGUCAAUACGAUGUUAUUGCAAUAAAACUGAUUGGCCUGACCUCUGCGCUUCGACAAGAGGAGCUUCGUUCAGCCGGGGCAAUUACAGCCAGAUAACAGGCGGCUGAAUGAAAAUGUUACAGGAGCUCUCUCAGCUGUUAUCAGUCUUAAUUUAGGCAGACUUUUGGGUCAUGGUUCACCUUUAAGAGGUCAAGAAAUCAAAAUCUAUUAAUUCUACACAAUAAUAAUAAUAAUAAUGUAGAAAAUUUUGUAAAAUAUUACCUGAUUUCAACUGAUUACAAGCAAACCCAAUUGUGUUGCUAUAAAUCUCUAAGUUCUGUAAAACUGAUUUUUUUUUUUUUUUUCUUGUCUGCACAAGAUAAAAUCUUGAAAUUAUUUGUCUCGGUGCAAAGAUUCAGCAAUAACAUCGAAAACAGUAUUUGCUCAAAUAAAACUAGAAAAUUCUUGUGAUAAAUGGCGUCAAAUUGAAAACGGAUGGCCAACAAGAUAACUAUCUUGUGAACACAGGAUGAUAAUUUGUUUUGCACAGUAGUUAGACUUGCAUUUGAGCUGAUAAUCUCCUCCCAUUGAAUAAUUUUCUUAUCUGCAAUAGAUGUUUUUACCUUAAUAAUGUUAUCUUGCAAAAUUGCAUUCAAAAUCAUCCAACAUGAUGAUUGUCUUGUGUGAACAAGCUAACUUGUUCCAUUUACGUAUCCAUCUUUUCUACAUAAUACGAUGACUUUUCCCACAAGUUAUUCCGUGAUCCAACUGAUCUGUGCUCACAAGAUAAAAAAUAGUCUUUAUGUGAUCAUUUUCUUUUGUGCACAGGAUAACUUAUGGUGGGUUCCAGUUACCUCUGUCGUUGGAUGUCAGGGAACGGGAAUGGGAAUGACGCUGCACCCGAGUUGACGGCGUUCCAGUUAACAAGUGGGUAAACCAAGAUGGAUGCAAACAGUUAGCGGUUGUUAGCUGUUGGUUACAAUUGUCAGCUGUUGUUGGCUGAUGUCAGUUGUUAUUGAUACCAGUUGUAAACAACGCAUAACACAGUAUUUUACUCUUACAAACACCAUAUCAAUCAUAUGGGCAGUACAACAUAAACCACGUAUUCAAUUUCCCAAAAACAAAACAAAAGUGCUAAUAAAUAAUACAUUAUGAGAGCUUUUACUGUUACUCUUUGCUGUUGAUGCACUGUGCUGCCAUCUUGAAUUAUGACGUUGUCGUCAAGUCAGGGUUGGUGAGGAUUGUCCAACUUUCUGAAUUGGAAAUCCGACUUCAAGGGGACAUUCCAGAUGAAUUUCCAACUCGGAGCUCGGAAAUCCCAAUGAGUACAACUGGAACGCAAGGUUAUUCCUGAAGAUAGUUCUGAUGUGUGCCCAAGAUGAUAACCUGUUCCAACAAGACAACGAUCUUUGAUAUUGGCAUUUCAGUAUUCUACUUUAGCCUAGAGGCACCAGAGGAAUCCAUCAUGUUUUCUGGUGGUUGAAUUUAGCAUCAGUUUCCAGCUAGUAUCAUGCAACAUUGUUUGCUAAUGUUUGUCAAAGUCUUACAGUGACAAAUUUCUGAACAUUUGUUAUAAAUUCUGCAGCUUAAUUUCUUUAUUUGUAGGAUUUUGAGAUUGUAUUUGACAUGUUUCCAGUAGGUCUGGAUGAAGUGGUGAAUGUUUUCCUCACAACAGCUGUUCCAUGAGGAGAUUUUUGGGGAUUAUGUUGUUAAUGCCACAACAGACACCAUAUAAAUCCUCAGAAACACACUUGAUGUUGAAACUGGUAAAUGUACAGCAUUAAUGCAUUUUUACACUUAAUACAGCAGCAAAAAGCCACCAACUCAGCCCUGUUCGAUUCCUCCCACUUUACCUCAGUAUUGCUUAUAACUUUAACUCCAAAUGCAGAUUUCUUGAGUCAAUUAGAGAAACACUAAAGGAUAAAAGGCUACAACUCAGAGAGGCACUUGCACUUAAUUGAUCGUUGUCUGAACAAUGCCAACGCACAGUGAUGUACAAGCUUCUGUUUAAUUACAAGCAUUGUGGAGGCGGGAUUGUAUCAGAGUUCAUGGAGAUUUACUUAAUUUAAAAGGACAUGGCACAUAGAAGCUUGUCUGGGAGAGAAACAAGAUGUGAAAAUCUGCAAAUACCUGGAGAAAACGACCAAGUGACCUGGCAACACUAAUUCUAAAGAUUCUGAGAAUGUGUCCAAGUCAGGCGAGACAAGCACAGUUAAAACGCCAGCAAACAAUUUGGUAGAAGUUUUGGCGCUGUGGGCAGGUGCAAAGUUCUGUUGAUAAAGGAAACAAGCAUCUCUGUGAAGCUUGGCUGCAAUUUGCAUUUCUGUACCACAUCCUGCAGUGAGUCCAACCAUGGAGCCAGCUUUUUACCACUUUCGAACUUCAGCCGUUGCCUUGGGUGGGAUGUAUACAAGUAUUGGUAUAAUAUGACAUGUAUGUCUUUUAACGUAAAUUCUUACAUGCAAAUGGGAUCUGGUUCCACUCUGAGCCAAGCCGAUGACAAAUCAUCACCAUGGACGACCAAUUACUUGUUUAAAAGGGUGCCUCUACAAGACUGUAUUGAAAACAGCAUAUUGUUAGGUAGGCGGGGAACACUUUGAAAUGCUUUAAGUGCAUAUAGGUUUUCAAAAGCAGAGGAAAAUAAGGUUUCAGCUCUUUAUAGCAAAGUGGCUUUUUCAUGCAACUGGAAUAAUAGCUUGGUCAAACAGAGGUGGCGUUCUGGUUCAGCCUAAAAGACAUCCUCAGGCUGCAUCUUGAGGGACUAAAACUUCAGGUUCAGGUGCGCUAAAGCUGGAAAAGAGUUAUAUCUGUUCUGAAAGGCCAGGUGAGAAGGUGGGGUUAAAAGUCCAGAACUGAAUAAAGAGCAGCGAUAGAUUUUAAUUCAAGUUUGCAGUCUCUGAGAUCCAGUCAAUUCCUGCAUGAAGUGGGAGCAAAUGUCACUCCGUUGGCUUUGAUUACUGUGCGACAUUUAAAAAGUUAGAAAACACCGUCCUGUUUUGACCAAGCCUCGUUCAGACCAUUACAGGCCGGGAAUGUUUCUUCAUCUGUUGAUUCCAAGCCUGAAGGUCAUGACCAGGACAAGAAAUGUAAAUCUGGUGGUCGUUUAUUGGUAGAAUACAGUAAAAUAGGGCAAAGCUUCACCAAAAUGCUUGAUGAGUGGAUUAAACCGUUCAACCGACCCUUCAGCAAUCAACCAGAGCGCAAAUAUUCAAUAAUUCUGUUGCUUUUUCCUCAAAUCAUGAUUCAGCACAGCACCAUAAGUUUGCACAUCUUGACACUGUACUUAAUCCUCAAUUAAAAUGUAUCAUCAUUCCAGUAUACAUCCGAAUGCAAGAAAGAAAGAAAUUGUUUAGCCCUGGAACAACCCCAGCCUGAUGAAACCUCGGCGCUCCAAAGCAAAGCAGAUCAGAAAAUGACAUCUCCCUAUUCAGAUUGACUGAUUCCUGCCGAGGCUUGCGCGCAGAAAGCGCACGCUCCGGGCUGCUCAUACAGAAGGCUAACCACACGUAGAUAAGGCCGAACCCGACUGGUGACACGCCUGGCUUGGAAAAGGGGAGGAAGAAAGCAAAUCACUCAGGACAAUCUAUUCCCUCCGCUGCCAGUCACUUCACUGCCGUCAAUUCAAUACCGGCUGCUCCAGAGCGACACAGUGGCCUCUGAAUACCAUUUCCAUAUCAUUAUUCCUACAUAAAUGGCAGACCGCUUGCUGUUUCAUCAACCUUUUGGACCACAUGCUGGUAAAUAAAUAAACAAAGUUCUCAGGUGUAUAUAUGGAAAGGGUGAGGAGAAGCUAAUGGGAUGGAGAGGCCCGCAAAUAGGGACCAGGAAGUGCUUUGUAGCUGUGGCUGGCUUUAUUGUCGGACGGGUUGACCCCCAGUUGAAUGAACAUUUGUCAUUGGGGAAGGGGGGGCGGUUUUCUCUUUGUAGGUUUGCGCAGGUGGACGGACUAAAUGGGUGCAAAAAUGCAAUUCUCUUGGGGGAAUGAGGGUCUUUUCAAGUCCAGGACUGGCAUGUUUGUCUUGUUUAUUAAAAGAUAAAUAUUAUAGAAAAUGAGUGUUUGUGCACUAAACAACCAUGAGUGGAACAGUUGCUGUGGUUACCAAUAAGACUUUUCUUGUUGGUCCAUGCCCAGAAUGAAAAAAUGCCCCAUCUAUAGCUCGUUGUACACUUCAGCUAUUGUACAAGCAGCUAUGUAAUCUACUAGGAAUAAACAACAACCUGAACCUGAACGACCUGGAAAUAUUUUGUUUUAUAAAUGUUCCGUUUUUUAGUAAAGUUAAAGCUCCUGUGUGGAACUUUCAGACAGAUGCCCCCUGUGGCCACUUUUGUCCUCUACCUCCUUAAAUUGCAUCUUGACAAAAAAAAAAAAAGAUCCAAAUUACUGGCUUCUAAAAGUCAAAUGUGAAUGUUUUAUGUGGGAUUUAUAAAUAAAUAAAUAAUAAAAAAAAAAAGGGGUUGCUCAACACCUGCCCCCUUACACCGCUUUCAGGUAUUAAAAAUUGUGACUUAAAUUUCGUCAGUCUUGUCACUGAUGGUGUUGUUUGCUUUCAUUUAUCAUAAAAAGGCAUUAUUUAGAAUUUUAGUCAAUUUCUCAAAUGUCAAAAACAAAAAAAAAACAAACAAACAAAAAAAAAAAAACAGGGCUCGGUCAACACCUGCCCCCUUUACACUAGUUUCAGGCAUUGAAAAUUAUGCCCCCUGUGGCCAAUCUUGUCCUCUGCAUCGUUAAAAUGGCAUCUUGACAAAAAAUAAAUAAAUUAACUGGCUUUUAAAAGUGAAAUGUGAAUGUUUUAUGUGGGAUUUAAAAAACAAAACAAAAACAAAAAAAUACAAUAAUAAUAAUAUUAAUAAUGAUAAUAAUAAUAAUAAUAAUAAUAAUAAUAAUAAUAAUAAUAAUAAAAAGGGCUUGGUCGACACCUGCCCCCCUUACACUGCUUUCAGGCAUUAAAAAUUCUGACUUAAAUUUCGUCGGUCUUGUCACUGUUGGUGUUACAGCUGUAGCUGUAAACCAAAAUAAAGGAAGUGUUCUUCAAUUGAGCUGUUUUCUGCUACAGUUAAAGCCCCAGUGCUGUUCUCAUUUCAAAAGGUCCUGAACCACUGGUUUAGACACGACCCAUCCCCCAGCUCUCCAAGCUUCCAGUGUGAGGCUUACUAACUAAUGGCCACAAGUUAACAUCUGUCCAUCAGGGAGAGUUUCCAGAGGAGUUAAAAACAGUCCUGGAUCUAUUACAGAUGAACUGCAGUGCCGACUGUAAUUAUAUC